AAAGAGUGAAAAGAAAUGUAGAAAGCCUCCAAGAAAUAUGGGGUUAUGUGGAAAGACCUAAUCUAUGUUUGAUAGGUGUACCUGAAUGUGAUGGAGAGAAUAAAUUCAAGGUAGAAAACACUCUUCAAGAGAUGGAAAGAGCUUCUUUAUAUCUAUAUGGCAAAAGAAUAAAAUGGCAAUGUACUGUGUGAAAAUCAAUGUACAGUUUUGAAGCAGGUAAGAAGAAAAUUGCCUCAUACUUGGGUUUUACAGUGUUCAAAGCAAUUACCCAGUCAUAUCUCAUUUGAACCUACAUAUUCAAUAGAUGGGCAUACAUUUAUUGAGAACACACCAUUUUACAUUGUGUUAAUCUGAGUAAUAUAACUCAUGGAGAGUGUUCUCUUUGUUAGGUGAAUGCAAAUUACCUUUCAACUUAACCCAUUUUAAACUCAAUUACCAAGAAUAGUUCAAUUUCUGUGAUUUCAAAGAAAAAUACAUCAUAGUAGAAGCAAAUAUUCUCUAAGGACCUGUUUAGAAAUAAUUCUCAUUUAGUAUCUUGAGACUUGCCAAUUGUAGAAGUGCUGAUGUGCAAUGCAUCUCCAGUAGUGUGCCUAACACCACACUAAUAUCCUCAAGGUAAUUUAUUAUGUAUAGAGUCGCAAAAAGAAAGCUCUUAUCAGCACUGAGUUACUACUCAACAAAUAAAAAACAUUAAGUUCUCAGCCUAUUAUUAUAAUUAGUAUUGAUUUAAAAUUUGAUGUAUUUUUAAAAAUUGAUUUUAAACUUUAGAUAACAGAUAUUUUAAAGCAUUAAUUUUAGAAGAUAGAUUAAUUUGAAUCCUAUGAUAUGAAAUUUACAUGAUAUUGAUUUGAGUCCUACCAUCAUCUUGCUAUGGUAGUCUGAUAGUCAUUAUUUUUUUCCUACAAUCUUUGCUUUAUUUAAAAACACAUAUAUUUAGUAUUGGCUUUCUUGCAUAUACUACAAUAUUUUUAAAUUAUGCAUACUUGUAUUGAAUAAUUUUCUUCCAAUUAGG
Molecule: long non-coding RNA, 1012 nt
Filed under: Callithrix jacchus (white-tufted-ear marmoset)
Lineage: Eukaryota; Metazoa; Chordata; Mammalia; Primates; Cebidae
Description: lncRNA (ENSCJAG00000084132.1)
Source: RNAcentral